This 90-nucleotide ribosomal RNA is filed under the name Triticum aestivum (bread wheat). Its description in RNAcentral is "partial small subunit ribosomal RNA". The record is from RNAcentral. Lineage: Eukaryota; Viridiplantae; Streptophyta; Magnoliopsida; Poales; Poaceae.
AUGGCGGUGGUGCACAUCCCGCGCCAAUUCAAGGUGUCGGACUGUUUCCUGAACAGGAAGAAGGACUACAAGGACGGGACGUUCUCCUAG